This 74-nucleotide transfer RNA is filed under the name Rhipicephalus microplus (southern cattle tick). RNAcentral describes it as "tRNA-Lys". It matches the Rfam family "tRNA". Rfam says of the family: Transfer RNA (tRNA) molecules are approximately 80 nucleotides in length. Lineage: Eukaryota; Metazoa; Arthropoda; Arachnida; Ixodida; Ixodidae. The record is from Rfam by way of RNAcentral.
UCCGGCGUGGUCUAGUGGCUAGGAUAUCUGGCUUUUCACCCAAGAAGGCCCGGGUUCGAUUCCCGGCGUCGGAA